ACUCCUACGGGAGGCAGCAGUGGGGAAUAUUGCACAAUGGGCGCAAGCCUGAUGCAGCCAUGCCGCGUGUGUGAAGAAGGCCUUCGGGUUGUAAAGCACUUUCAGUCGUGAGGAAGGUAGUGUAGUUAAUAGCUGCAUUAUUUGACGUUAGCGACAGAAGAAGCACCGGCUAACUCCGUGCCAGCAGCCGCGGUAAUACGGAGGUGCGAGCGUUAAUCGGAAUUACUGGGCGUAAAGCGCAUGCAGGUGGUUGUUAAGUCAGAUGUGAAAGCCCGGGGCUCAACCUCGGAAUAGCAUUUGAAACUGGCAGACUAGAGUACUGUAGAGGGGGUAGAAUUUCAGGUGUAGCGGUGAAAUGCGUAGAGAUCUGAAGGAUACCGGUGGCGAAGGCGGCCCCUGGACAGAUACUGACACUCAGAUGCGAAAGCGUGGGAGCAAACAGGAUUAGAUACCCCUGGUAGACUGUCA
RNAcentral lists this ribosomal RNA (468 nucleotides) under uncultured bacterium. Its description in RNAcentral is "bacterial SSU rRNA". It matches the Rfam family "Bacterial small subunit ribosomal RNA", at positions 335 to 802 of the family's 1533-position model. The record is from RNAcentral.